This 66-nucleotide transfer RNA is filed under the name Panesthia angustipennis. RNAcentral describes it as "tRNA-Tyr". The record is from RNAcentral. Lineage: Eukaryota; Metazoa; Arthropoda; Insecta; Blattodea; Blaberidae.
AGUAGAAUGGCUGAGUGUAGGUGAAAGAUUGUAAAUCUUUUAAGGGGUAGAAUAACUCUUCUACUA